AUUGAACGCUGGCGGCAGGCCUAACACAUGCAAGUCGAACGGUAACAGGAAGCAGCUUGCUGCUUUGCUGACGAGUGGCGGACGGUUGAGUAAUGUCUGGGAAACUGCCCGAUGGAGGGGGAUAACUACUGGAAACGGUAGCUAAUACCGCAUAACGUCGCAAGACCAAAGAGGGGGACCUUAGGGCCUCUUGCCAUCGGAUGUGCCCAGAUGGGAUUAGCUAGUAGGUGGGGUAACGGCUCACCUAGGCGACGAUCCCUAGCUGGUCUGAGAGGAUGACCAGCCACACUGGAACUGAGACACGGUCCAGACUCCUACGGGAGGCAGCAGUGGGGAAUAUUGCACAAUGGGCGCAAGCCUGAUGCAGCCAUGCCGCGUGUAUGAAGAAGGCCUUCGGGUUGUAAAGUACUUUCAGCGGGGAGGAAGGGAGUAAAGUUAAUACCUUUGCUCAUUGACGUUACCCGCAGAAGAAGCACCGGCUAACUCCGUG
RNAcentral lists this ribosomal RNA (490 nucleotides) under uncultured bacterium. RNAcentral's name for it is "partial 16S ribosomal RNA". It matches the Rfam family "Bacterial small subunit ribosomal RNA", at positions 30 to 507 of the family's 1533-position model. The record is from RNAcentral.